AACCCAUUGAUGAGUCAUGAGACCCGAAAUUACGUCGUAUUGUUGACACUCAAAAAGACUGCAAAUUCCAAUUCGUUUCGGAAUACAGUCCGUCGACGAGAUAGAGCGAACUUGCACAGAUUU
This 123-nucleotide non-coding RNA is filed under the name Caenorhabditis remanei. Lineage: Eukaryota; Metazoa; Nematoda; Chromadorea; Rhabditida; Rhabditidae. The record is from RNAcentral.